AUGGCUAAAACAACUGUGGUCCAUAAAUGUAAUAAGUGUACCACAAUUGGCUUAGCCAAUU
This 61-nucleotide microRNA precursor is filed under the name Monodelphis domestica (gray short-tailed opossum). RNAcentral's name for it is "microRNA mdo-mir-7260 precursor". Lineage: Eukaryota; Metazoa; Chordata; Mammalia; Didelphimorphia; Didelphidae. The record is from miRBase by way of RNAcentral.